AAAUUGAAGAGUUUGAUCAUGGCUCAGAUUGAACGCUGGCGGCAGGCCUAACACAUGCAAGUCGAACGGUAACAGGAAGCAGCUUGCUGCUUCGCUGACGAGUGGCGGACGGGUGAGUAAUGUCUGGGAAACUGCCUGAUGGAGGGGGAUAACUACUGGAAACGGUAGCUAAUACCGCAUAACGUCGCAAGACCAAAGAGGGGGACCUUCGGGCCUCUUGCCAUCGGAUGUGCCCAGAUGGGAUUAGCUUGUUGGUGGGGUAACGGCUC
This 269-nucleotide ribosomal RNA is filed under the name Escherichia coli. Its description in RNAcentral is "partial 16S ribosomal RNA". It matches the Rfam family "Bacterial small subunit ribosomal RNA", at positions 1 to 266 of the family's 1533-position model. Lineage: Bacteria; Pseudomonadati; Pseudomonadota; Gammaproteobacteria; Enterobacterales; Enterobacteriaceae. The record is from RNAcentral. RNAcentral also lists the same sequence under 2 other names.